ACGUCGGAACGUAACGUACGUCGUAGUACUGGGGGAGUAACACUUAGAAAUAGGUGCUAAUACCGCAUAAGCGCACAGCUUCGCAUGAAGCGGUGUGAAAAACUACUGGUGGUAUACGAUGGUUCCGCGUCUGAUUAGCUAGUUGGUGGGGUAAUGGCCUACCAAGGCAACGAUCAGUAGCCGGCCUGAGAGGGUGAACGGCCACAUUGGGACUGAGACACGGCCCAAACUCCUACGGAAGGCAGCAG
Molecule: ribosomal RNA, 248 nt
Filed under: uncultured bacterium
Lineage: Bacteria
Description: partial 16S ribosomal RNA
Rfam family: Bacterial small subunit ribosomal RNA
Source: RNAcentral